Molecule: long non-coding RNA, 283 nt
Organism: Callithrix jacchus (white-tufted-ear marmoset)
Lineage: Eukaryota; Metazoa; Chordata; Mammalia; Primates; Cebidae
Source: RefSeq, a predicted model, not a curated record
AAGCCAAGUGAUCUGGUUCUGGGGAUGCUUUCAUAUCUUAAUGCUCAAGCUAGUUUGCUGCACAUCAUCUUCCAGAGGGCACCAAAGUGAACAUCAUAGCAGUAAGAUUACUCCUUCACUAUGUAUCAAGAAACCUCUGACAAGGCUCAGCACAGAAGGCUUGUCUCCACUCCAUACAGCAUCAGCUGGGCGGGCUUGACUGGAGGAUCUGCUCUGAGAUGGCUCACUCAUAUGGCUGGCAAGUUGGGGAUGACUGCAGGCCAGAGCUCAGCCAAGGCUGUGG